CCGGGUUGCGGACAGUGUCUGGUGGGUAGUUUGACUGGGGCGGUCUCCUCCCAAAGAGUAACGGAGGAGCACGAAGGUUGGCUAAUCCUGGUCGGACAUCAGGAGGUUAGUGCAAUGGCAUAAGCCAGCUUGACUGCGAGCGUGACGGCGCGAGCAGGUGCGAAAGCAGGUCAUAGUGAUCCGGUGGUUCUGAAUGGAAGGGCCAUCGCUCAACGGAUAAAAGGUACUCCGGGGAUAACAGGCUGAUACCGCCCAAGAGUUCAUAUCGACGGCGGUGUUUGGCACCUCGAUGUCGGCUCAUCACAUCCUGGGGCUGAAGUAGGUCCCAAGGGUAUGGCUGUUCGCCAUUUAAAGUGGUACGCGAGCUGGGUUUAGAACGUCGUGAGACAGUUCGGUCCCUAUCUGCCGUGGGCGCUGGAGAAUUGAGGGGGGCUGCUCCUAGUACGAGAGGACCGGAGUGGACGCAUCACUGGUGUUCGGGUUGUCAUGCCAAUGGCACUGCCCGGUAGCUAAAUGCGGAAGAGAUAAGUGCUGAAAGCAUCUAAGCACGAAACUUGCCCCGAGAUGAGUUCUCCCUGAGACCUUGAGUCUCCUGAAGGAACGUU
RNAcentral lists this ribosomal RNA (605 nucleotides) under Enterobacter hormaechei. RNAcentral's name for it is "partial 23S ribosomal RNA". It matches the Rfam family "Bacterial large subunit ribosomal RNA", at positions 2240 to 2839 of the family's 2925-position model. The record is from RNAcentral. Lineage: Bacteria; Pseudomonadati; Pseudomonadota; Gammaproteobacteria; Enterobacterales; Enterobacteriaceae. RNAcentral also lists the same sequence under 3 other names.